UACGAAGGGGGCUAGCGUUGCUCGGAAUCACUGGGCGUAAAGGGUGCGUAGGCGGGUCUUUAAGUCAGAGGUGAAAUCCUGGAGCUCAACUCCAGAACUGCCUUUGAUACUGAGGAUCUUGAGUACGGGAGAGGUGAGUGGAACUGCGAGUGUAGAGGUGAAAUUCGUAGAUAUUCGCAAGAACACCAGUCGCGAAGGCGGCUCACUGGCCCGGUACUGACGCUGAGGUGCGAAAGCGUGGGGAGCAAACAGG
This 253-nucleotide ribosomal RNA is filed under the name uncultured bacterium. Its description in RNAcentral is "partial 16S ribosomal RNA". It matches the Rfam family "Bacterial small subunit ribosomal RNA", at positions 524 to 776 of the family's 1533-position model. The record is from RNAcentral.